GGAAUAUUGCACAAUGGGCGGAAACCGUGAUGCAGCGACAGCCGCGUGGAGGAAGAAGGUCUUCGGAUUGUAAACUCCAAGUUGUUGAGGAAAAUAAUGACGGUACUCAACAAGGAAGUGACGGCUAACUACGUGCCAUCAGCCGCGGUAAAACGUAGGUCACAAGCGUUGUCCGGAAUUUCUGGGUGUAAAGGGAGCGCAGGCGGGAAGACAAGUUGGAAGUGAUAUCCAUGGGCUCAACCCAUGAUCUGCUUUCAUAGCUGUUUUUCUUGAGUAGUGCGGAGGUAGGCGGAAUUCCCGGUGUAGCGGUGGAAUGCGUAGAUAUCGGGAGGAACACCAGUGGCGACGGCGGCCUAGUGGGCACCAACUGACGUUGAGGCUCGAAAGUGUGGGUAGCAAACAGAAUAAGUUGCCCUGGUUGUCCUCGCCGUAAUCGACGAUUACUAGGGGUUGGAGGAUUGACCCGUUCAGUGCAGCAGUUAACACAAUAAGUGAUCCACAUGGUGAGUAAGACUGCAAGUCUGAAACUCACAGGAAUUGACGGGGGCCCGCACAAGCAGUGGAGUAUGUCGUUUAAUUUGACGCAACCAGAAGAACCUCAGCAAGUCUUGACAUCCCUAGUAGAUGCUGGAAACAGUAUUUGUAUUAGUAGCAAGGAGACAGCAGGUGCAUGGUGGUCGUCAGCUCGUGUAGUGAGAUGAUGGGUUAAGUCCCGCAACGAGUGCAACCCCUACGGUCAGUUAAUACGCAAGAGGACUCUGUCCAGACGGCGGUUGACAAAACGGAGGAAGGUGGGGAUGACGUCAAAUCAUCAUGCCCUUUAUGACUUGGGUUACACACGUAGUGCAAGGGCGUUAAACAAAGAGAAGCAAGUCCGCGAGGAGGAGCAAAAUUCAGAAACAACGUCCCAGUUCGGACUGCAGCAUGCAACUCGCAUUCAGGAAGUCGGAACCGUUAGUAAUCGUGGAUCAGCAUGCCACGGUGAACACGUUCCCGGCCCGAGCACUCACCGCCCGUCA
Molecule: ribosomal RNA, 1019 nt
Filed under: uncultured bacterium
Lineage: Bacteria
Description: bacterial SSU rRNA
Rfam family: Bacterial small subunit ribosomal RNA
Source: RNAcentral